RNAcentral lists this ribosomal RNA (499 nucleotides) under uncultured bacterium. RNAcentral describes it as "partial 16S ribosomal RNA". It matches the Rfam family "Bacterial small subunit ribosomal RNA", at positions 28 to 507 of the family's 1533-position model. The record is from RNAcentral.
GACGAACGCUGGCGGCGUGCCUAAUACAUGCAAGUCGAGCGAAGUUUUUCUGGUGCUUGCACCGGAAAAACUUAGCGGCGAACGGGUGAGUAACACGUAAAGAACCUGCCUCAUAGACUGGGACAACUAUUGGAAACGAUAGCUAAUACCGGAUAACAGCAUUAACUGCAUGGUUGAUGUUUGAAAGUUGGUUUUGUUAACACUAUGAGAUGGCUUUGCGGUGCAUUAGCUAGUUGGUGGGGUAAAGGCCUACCAAGGCGACGAUGCAUAGCCGACCUGAGAGGGUGAUCGGCCACACUGGGACUGAGACACGGCCCAGACUCCUACGGGAGGCAGCAGUAGGGAAUCUUCCGCAAUGGGCGAAAGCCUGACGGAGCAACGCCGCGUGAGUGAAGAAGGAUUUCGGUUCGUAAAGCUCUGUUGUUAGGGAAGAAUGAUUAUAUAGUAACUAUACAUAGUAGAGACGGUACCUAACCAGAAAGCCACGGCUAACUACGUG